GUGUUUGCUUCAGCAGCACAUAUACUAACAUUGGAACGAUACAGAGAUGAUUAGCAUGGCCCCUGUGCGAGGAUGACAUGCAAUUCAUGAAGGAUUCCAUAUUUUU
This 106-nucleotide small nuclear RNA is filed under the name Phascolarctos cinereus (koala). The record is from RNAcentral. Lineage: Eukaryota; Metazoa; Chordata; Mammalia; Diprotodontia; Phascolarctidae.